UACAGAGGUCCCCAGGCGUUGUUCGGAUUCACUGGGCGUAAAGGGUGCGCAGGUGGGCUGGUAAGUUCGAUGUGAAAGCCCCGGGCUUAACCCGGGAAAGGCAUUGGAUACUACUGGUCUGGAGGAUCGGAGGGGGGACUGGAAUUCUUGGUGUAGCAGUGAAAUGCGUAGAUAUCAAGAGGAACACCAGUGGCGAAGGCGAGUCCCUGGACGAUACCUGACACUGAGGCACGAAAGCCGGGGGAGCAAACAGGAUUAGAAACCCUAGUAGU
RNAcentral lists this ribosomal RNA (272 nucleotides) under uncultured bacterium. RNAcentral's name for it is "partial 16S ribosomal RNA". It matches the Rfam family "Bacterial small subunit ribosomal RNA", at positions 524 to 794 of the family's 1533-position model. The record is from RNAcentral.